This 417-nucleotide long non-coding RNA is filed under the name Medicago truncatula (barrel medic). Its description in RNAcentral is "long non-coding RNA (MTRU_LNC007752)". Lineage: Eukaryota; Viridiplantae; Streptophyta; Magnoliopsida; Fabales; Fabaceae. The record is from RNAcentral.
AUCUGUUACUUUACCUGAUUCAAAUAAUAUCGCUACGAAAAAGAAGAGGAAGAAGAACAGGAAUAAGAAUAAGAAUAAGAGCAUGAUCAAUGCUGAAGAACCAAAACCUGCGUUAGAGCUAGGAAAGAAUGAAGAACCAAAACCCGCUUUAGAGCUAGGAAAGAAUGAAGAACCAAAACCCGUGUUAGAGCUAGAAAAGAAUGAAGAACCAAAACCCGCGUUAGAGCUAGAAAAGAAUAAAGAAGUAGAAUCAAUUGCAGUUGCAAAAACUAUGACUAGGAAGAGAAAACGAAAAAGUGUGCAAAAUGGGGCAGAAUCCAAUGAGCAUAAUAUUGAACAGGCUGAAACUGCGGUUCAGAUGUCGAUACUAGAUACAGAAGUGCCUCCGAUUGACAAAGCAAUAGCUGUGAAUAAUCA